This 253-nucleotide ribosomal RNA is filed under the name uncultured bacterium. RNAcentral's name for it is "partial 16S ribosomal RNA". It matches the Rfam family "Bacterial small subunit ribosomal RNA", at positions 524 to 776 of the family's 1533-position model. The record is from RNAcentral.
UACGUAGGGGGCAAGCGUUGUUCGGAAUUACUGGGCGUAAAGGGCGCGUAGGCGGCCUGCUAAGUCGGACGUGAAAUCCCCCGGCUCAACCGGGGAACUGCGUCCGAUACUGGUGGGCUCGAAUCCGGGAGAGGGAUGUGGAAUUCCAGGUGUAGCGGUGAAAUGCGCAGAUAUCGGGAAGAACACCCGUGGCGAAGGCGGUUCUCUGGGACGGUACUGACGCUGAGACGCGAAAGCGUGGGGAGCGAACAGG